Molecule: ribosomal RNA, 1327 nt
Filed under: Escherichia coli
Lineage: Bacteria; Pseudomonadati; Pseudomonadota; Gammaproteobacteria; Enterobacterales; Enterobacteriaceae
Description: partial 23S ribosomal RNA
Rfam family: Bacterial large subunit ribosomal RNA
Source: RNAcentral
GGGACACGUGGUAUCCUGUCUGAAUAUGGGGGGACCAUCCUCCAAGGCUAAAUACUCCUGACUGACCGAUAGUGAACCAGUACCGUGAGGGAAAGGCGAAAAGAACCCCGGCGAGGGGAGUGAAAAAGAACCUGAAACCGUGUACGUACAAGCAGUGGGAGCACAGAGCAAUCUGUGUGACUGCGUACCUUUUGUAUAAUGGGUCAGCGACUUAUAUUCUGUAGCAAGGUUAACCGAAUAGGGGAGCCGAAGGGAAACCGAGUCUUAACUGGGCGUUAAGUUGCAGGGUAUAGACCCGAAACCCGGUGAUCUAGCCAUGGGCAGGUUGAAGGUUGGGUAACACUAACUGGAGGACCGAACCGACUAAUGUUGAAAAAUUAGCGGAUGACUUGUGGCUGGGGGUGAAAGGCCAAUCAAACCGGGAGAUAGCUGGUUCUCCCCGAAAGCUAUUUAGGUAGCGCCUCGUGAAUUCAUCUCCGGGGGUAGAGCACUGUUUCGGCAAGGGGGUCAUCCCGACUUACCAACCCGAUGCAAACUGCGAAUACCGGAGAAUGUUAUCACGGGAGACACACGGCGGGUGCUAACGUCCGUCGUGAAGAGGGAAACAACCCAGACCGCCAGCUAAGGUCCCAAAGUCAUGGUUAAGUGGGAAACGAUGUGGGAAGGCCCAGACAGCCAGGAUGUUGGCUUAGAAGCAGCCAUCAUUUAAAGAAAGCGUAAUAGCUCACUGGUCGAGUCGGCCUGCGCGGAAGAUGUAACGGGGCUAAACCAUGCACCGAAGCUGCGGCAGCGACGCUGAUGCGUUGUUGGGUAGGGGAGCGUUCUGUAAGCCUGCGAAGGUGUGCUGUGAGGCAUGCUGGAGGUAUCAGAAGUGCGAAUGCUGACAUAAGUAACGAUAAAGCGGGUGAAAAGCCCGCUCGCCGGAAGACCAAGGGUUCCUGUCCAACGUUAAUCGGGGCAGGGUGAGUCGACCCCUAAGGCGAGGCCGAAAGGCGUAGUCGAUGGGAAACAGGUUAAUAUUCCUGUACUUGGUGUUACUGCGAAGGGGGGACGGAGAAGGCUAUGUUGGCCGGGCGACGGUUGUCCCGGUUUAAGCGUGUAGGCUGGUUUUCCAGGCAAAUCCGGAAAAUCAAGGCUGAGGCGUGAUGACGAGGCACUACGGUGCUGAAGCAACAAAUGCCCUGCUUCCAGGAAAAGCCUCUAAGCAUCAGGUAACAUCAAAUCGUACCCCAAACCGACACAGGUGGUCAGGUAGAGAAUACCAAGGCGCUUGAGAGAACUCGGGUGAAGGAACUAGGCAAAAUGGUGCCGUAACUUCGGGAGAAGG